RNAcentral lists this ribosomal RNA (247 nucleotides) under uncultured bacterium. RNAcentral's name for it is "partial 16S ribosomal RNA". It matches the Rfam family "Bacterial small subunit ribosomal RNA", at positions 796 to 1041 of the family's 1533-position model. The record is from RNAcentral.
CACGCCCUAAACUAUGGAUGCUAGCUGUAUGUCGAAUCGACCCGAUAUGUAGCGAAGCUAACGCGUUAAGCAUCCCGCCUGUGGAGUACGGUCGCAAGACUAAAACAUAAAGGAAUUGACGGGGACCCGCACAAGCGGUGGAGUGUGUUGUUUAAUUCGAUGGUAAACGAAGAACCUUACCCAGACUUGACAUCCUUGGAAAGACUACGAAAGUAGACUGUGUCUUCGGAAGCCAAGUGACAGGUGU